Tribolium castaneum (red flour beetle) is the source of this 981-nucleotide long non-coding RNA. RefSeq lists it as uncharacterized. The record is from RefSeq and is a predicted model, not a curated record. The transcript is spliced from 2 exons. Lineage: Eukaryota; Metazoa; Arthropoda; Insecta; Coleoptera; Tenebrionidae.
AACGUAGAUAACUUAAAACAUAAUAAAUAUUUCUCUUGCUGCUAUUUUUUUUGUGUUAAAACUAAUUCGUGCUGGUUCUUAAGUUCACUAGGAAACCCUUACUGUAAUGGCUUUCUUAGAUAAAGUUCUCAAAGCUGGACAGGAGUUGGUUUUAUCUGAACUUCAAGAAACCACAUUUCUUCAACUUGUCAACAAAUCCAGUUGCGAUAUAAUGGAUGCUACCAUGUCAUCAAUGGAUCAGCUUGACUGGAUUAACGCUGGUCCCCUUUUCGAUAGAGCAUACAUCCCCUGUAACACAUCAGCAGAAAGAGUAGCAAAAAUAAAUAAAAAUACUGUCCAUUGUCCUUUUGAAAUGACGUUGUUAUUUAGCGAUCGAACUUCUGAUAAAUUUAGGAUGCAUCAGAAAUAUCCCAUUGAUCGGUGUGCAGGCUUUCAACACCUUUAUGGCCCACAUGACAUUUCCUACUCAUCUUCCGGGAAUAAAGUGAUUAUAACAAUCAGGGAUAAAUAAUAUUUUCCAAUCCGGAAUUAUUAUCAUUGUCAGCAUAUAUAAAAAUAUGUUUUCGGCUUCAAAUUGAUAUUACAAUGCGUUUUUAAAUGAUUCUCAUUUAGUUAAAUUUGAAAUUGGUUUACAUGGAAAAAAAUUUGUGCCGCUCUGCUUAAGUAAAUCCUCUGUCAAUAAAUGUCAGAUCUGUCAGUUAAGAAAUUUAAUUAAUCUCUUUUAAAAAUUUCGUUAAAAUGCAACUAAAUUGUUACACUUUGCAAGAAAACACUUUUAUUGUCGAAGUUUAUUUCCGAAUUCACGAAUUGGAGUCUUAAUAAAUAGAGAAUAGUAAUAUUCGAUGUCUAAAUGCCUUUCACUAGUUACAUGAAGCGGCAUUUUCUGAUUUUACAUGAGUAAUUCACAGACGACUACAUGAGAAUCAUUUAAAAACACAUUGUAUAAUUCUUUUUAUCAGAGUAAAUAAAAUUUUAGCAAAA